RNAcentral lists this unclassified non-coding RNA (346 nucleotides) under soil metagenome. RNAcentral describes it as "partial contains 5.8S ribosomal RNA, internal transcribed spacer 2, and large subunit ribosomal RNA". The stretch from base 1 to 119 matches the Rfam family "5.8S ribosomal RNA", at positions 35 to 154 of the family's 154-position model. The record is from RNAcentral.
GAUGAAGAACGUAGCGAAAUGCGAUACGUAAUGUGAAUUGCAAAUUCAGUGAAUCAUCGAGUCUUUGAACGCACAUUGCGCCCCCUGGUAUUCCGGGGGGCAUGCCUGUCCGAGCGUCAUUGCUGCCCUCAAGCACGGCUUGUGUGUUGGGCCCCGUCCUCCGAUCCCGGGGGACGGGCCCGAAAGGCAGCGGCGGCACCGCGUCCGGUCCUCGAGCGUAUGGGGCUUUGUCACCCGCUCUGUAGGCCCGGCCGGCGCUUGCCGUUCAACCCAAAUUUUUUAUCCAGGUUGACCUCGGAUCAGGUAGGGAUACCCGCUGAACUUAAGCAUAUCAAUAAGCGGAGGA